GCCAGGUGCUGUGGCGUACACCUGUAAUCCCAGCAGCUGCAGAGGCUGAGGCAGGAGGAUCAUGAGUUCAAAGCCAGCCUCAGCAAUGGUGAGGCACUAAGCAACUCAAUGAGACCCUGUCUCUA
This 125-nucleotide small RNA is filed under the name Marmota monax (woodchuck). Lineage: Eukaryota; Metazoa; Chordata; Mammalia; Rodentia; Sciuridae. The record is from RNAcentral.